AGCCAUGCGAGUCGAAUGUAGCAAUACAUGGCGUACUGCUCAGUAACACGUGGAUAACCUACCCUUGAGAUGGGGAUAAACCCGGGAAACUGGGUAUAAUACCCAAUAGAUCUCGACUGCUGGAAUGCAUCGAGAUCCAAAGCUCCGGCGCUCAAGGAUGGAUCUGCGGCCUAUCAGGUAGUAGUGGGUGUAGCGUACCUACUAGCCUACGACGGGUACGGGUUGUGAGAGCAAGAGCCCGGAGAUGGAUUCUGAGACACGAAUCCAGGCCCUACGGGGUGCAGCAGGCGCGAAAACUUUACAAUGCUGGAAACAGCGAUAAGGGGACCUCGAGUGCCAGGUUACAAAUCUGGCUGUCGUGAUGCCUAAAAAGCAUUGCAUAGCAAGGGCCGGGCAAGACCGGUGCCAGCCGCCGCGGUAACACCGGCGGCUCGAGUGGUAACCGUUAUUAUUGGGUCUAAAGGGUCUGUAGCCGGCCGGAUAAGUCUCUUGGGAAAUCUGGCAGCUUAACUGUCAGGCUUUCAGGAGAUACUGUCUGGCUCGAGGCCGGGAGAGGUGAGAGGUACUUCAGGGGUAGGGGUGAAAUCUUGUAAUCCUUGAAGGACCACCAGUGGCGAAGGCGUCUCACCAGAACGGACCUGACGGCAAGGGACGAAAGCUAGGGGCACGAACCGGAUUAGAUACCCGGGUAGUCCUAGCCGUAAACGAUACUCGCUAGGUGUCGGCAACGGUGCGACCGUUGUCGGUGCCGUAGGGAAGCCGUGGAGCGAGCCACCUGGGAAGUACGGCCGCAAGGCUGAAACUUAAAGGAAUUGGCGGGGGAGCA
RNAcentral lists this ribosomal RNA (826 nucleotides) under uncultured archaeon. Its description in RNAcentral is "bacterial SSU rRNA". It matches the Rfam family "Archaeal small subunit ribosomal RNA", at positions 47 to 878 of the family's 1478-position model. The record is from RNAcentral.